AACGAUGCGGUGAAUACGUUCCCGGGCCUUGUACACACCGCCCGUCACACCACGAAAGUUUGUUGUACCCGAAGUCGGUGCCUUAACCUCGCAAGAGGAGAGAGCCGCCCAAGGUAUGGCCGAUGAUUGGGGUGAAGUCGUAACAAGGUAGCCGUAGGGGAACCUGCGGCUGGAUCACCUCCUUUCUAGGAGAGAAGGGUCCUGGAUGAAGCGCUCCUAUUUAGUCUUGUGAAGGAUCCGAGUGGAAGCCGGGACCGG
This 258-nucleotide ribosomal RNA is filed under the name uncultured bacterium. Its description in RNAcentral is "partial 16S ribosomal RNA". The stretch from base 1 to 185 matches the Rfam family "Bacterial small subunit ribosomal RNA", at positions 1353 to 1533 of the family's 1533-position model. The record is from RNAcentral.